GCGCUCGUAGCUCAGUGGAUUAGAGCGCUGCCCUGCGGAGGCAGAGGUCGGAGGUUCGAAUCCUCCCGGGCGCACCA
RNAcentral lists this transfer RNA (77 nucleotides) under Chloroflexota bacterium. RNAcentral's name for it is "Chloroflexi bacterium tRNA-Arg". It matches the Rfam family "tRNA". Rfam says of the family: Transfer RNA (tRNA) molecules are approximately 80 nucleotides in length. Lineage: Bacteria; Bacillati; Chloroflexota. The record is from RNAcentral.